GAUGAGUAAAGUGGCGAACGGGUGAGUAAACACGUAGGUAAUCUGCCCUUCAGCCUGGGAUAACUUCGCGAAAGCGGGGCUAAUACCAGAUGAUAUUCGGGAAGUGCAUGCUUCCUGGAUCAAAGGUGGCCUCUGACUCAAGCUAUCACUGAAAGAUGAGCCUGCGGCUGAUUAGCUUGUUGGUAGGGUAAUGGCCUACCAAGGCUGCGAUCAGUAGCCGGCCUGAGAGGGUGAUCGGUCACACUGGAACUGAAACACGGUCCAGACUCCUACGGGAGGCAGCAGUGGGGAAUAUUGCGCAAUGGGCGAAAGCCUGACGCAGCAACGCCGCGUGGGUGAUGAAAGCCUUCGGGUUGUAAAGCCCUGUCAAGUGGAACGAAUCUCUCUUGAGCGAAUACCUCGAGAGAAUGACGGUACCACCAGAGGAAGCCCCGGCGAACUACGUGCCAGCAGCCGCGGUAAUCGUAGGGGGCAAGCGUUGUUCGGAAUUACUGGGGCGUAGAGAGCGCGUAAGCGGUCAGGUAAGUCAGGUGUGAAAUCCCUCAGCUCAACUGAGGUUUGGCGCUUGAAACUAUCUGACUUGAGUUUAGGAGAGGAGAGUGGAAUUCCACGGUGUAGCGGUGAAAUGCGUAGAUAUUGGGAGGAACACCGGUGGCGAAGGCGGCUCUCUGGACUAUUACUGACGCUGAGGCGCGAAAGCUAGGGGAGCAAACAGGAUUAGAUACCCUGGUAGUCCUAGCCGUAAACGAUGGGCACUAAGUGUGGGAGGUAUCGACCCCUUCCGUGCCGCAGCUAACGCAUUAAGUGCCCCGCCUGGGGAGUAUGGCCGCAAGGUUGAAACUCAAAGGAAUUGACGGGGGCCCGCACAAGCGGUGGAGCAUGUGGUUUAAUUCGACGCAACGCGAAGAACCUUACCAGGGCUUGACAUCCUGCGAAUUUCGGCGAAAGCCGGAAGUGCCCGCAAGGGAGCGCAGAGACAGUUGGUGCAUGGCUGUCGUCAGCUCGUGUCGUGAGAUGUUGGGUUAAGUCCCGCAACGAGCGCAACCCUCACCCUUUGUUGCCAUCAGGUAACGCUGGGCACUCUAAGGGAACUGCCUCGGUUAACGGGGAGGAAGGUGGGGACGACGUCAAGUCAUCAUGCCCCUUACGCUCUGGGCUACACACGUGCUACAAUGGCCAAUACAAAGGGCUGCAAACCCGAAAGGGGGAGCCAAUCCCAAAAAGUUGGUCUCAGUUCGGAUUGUAGGCUG
RNAcentral lists this ribosomal RNA (1250 nucleotides) under uncultured bacterium. Its description in RNAcentral is "bacterial SSU rRNA". It matches the Rfam family "Bacterial small subunit ribosomal RNA", at positions 85 to 1307 of the family's 1533-position model. The record is from RNAcentral.